CCUAAUACAUGCAAGUCGAGCGAUGAUGCUCCUUCGGGAGUACAUCAGCGGCGAACGGGUGAGUAACACGUAGGUGACUUGCCCCGAAGAUGGGGAUAACCUCUGGAAACGGGGGCUAAUACCCAAUGUGCUCGGUGAUUCGGUUGAUCGAGUAAAGCUCCGGCGCUUCGGGAGAGGCCUGCGGCCCAUCAGCUAGUUGGUAGGGUAACGGCCUACCAAGGCAGAGACGGGUAGGGGGCGUGAGAGCGCGGACCCCCACACUGGCACUGCGACACGGGCCAGACUCCUACGGGAGGCAGCAGUAAGGAAUAUUGCGCAAUGGACGAAAGUCAGACGCAGCGACGCCGCGUGGGCGAUGAAGGCCUUCGGGUUGUAAAGCCCUUUUAUGGGGGAAGAGAAAAAGGACGGUACCCCAUGAAUAAGUCCCGGCUAACUACGUGCCAGCAGCCGCGGUAAAACGUAGGGGACAAGCGUUAUCCGGAUUCACUGGGCGUAAAGAGCGUUGAGGCGGUUCCGUAAGUUGGGCGUGAAAGCUCCGGGCUUAACCCGGAGAUGUCGUUCAAUACUGCGGGGCUUGAGGACAGCAGAGGAAGGUGGAAUUCCCGGUGUAGUGGUGAAAUGCGUAGAUAUCGGGAGGAACACCCGUGGCGAAAGGCGGCCUUCUGGGCUGUUCCUGACGCUGAAGGCGAAAGCUAGGGGAGCGAACGGGAUUAGAUACCCCGGUAGUCCUAGCUGUAAACGAUGGAUACUGGGUGUGGGGGGUGUAAAUUCCCUC
This 775-nucleotide ribosomal RNA is filed under the name uncultured organism. Its description in RNAcentral is "bacterial SSU rRNA". It matches the Rfam family "Bacterial small subunit ribosomal RNA", at positions 47 to 841 of the family's 1533-position model. The record is from RNAcentral.